Molecule: long non-coding RNA, 1281 nt
Organism: Ailuropoda melanoleuca (giant panda)
Lineage: Eukaryota; Metazoa; Chordata; Mammalia; Carnivora; Ursidae
Exons: 2
Source: RefSeq, a predicted model, not a curated record
CUGAGGCAGGCAGCAGGGCCCCAUGGUGCUCACCAUUUUAUUCCUGCCAGCAUAUCUGUCGAAGGCAUACGUAUACCAAUGGCUGAUGACUGCCACAAGCGCCUUGGGGGCAAAGCCCAGACCGGCCCUCGGGAGCUUGCAAAAACAGCUGAUGUAGGACAAGCACAGAACCUCUGAGGAAGGUGUCAUCUUUCUAUUUUCCACCUUGUAUCCCACCCAAGAGCUGAUCCUGUCUCUCAAGGCCAGCAGGACAUUUGAGAAUAUACUGCAAGCUGGGUGCUUUCAUACGUUAUUUCACUUCAUCCUUGAAAUAAUCGGUAUCUUCAUUUUACACAUAAUAGUGUGUUAGCAACACCCUCUGAGCACCGUGACGUCAAGCUUGUAUACGCCAUGGCUAACCCUCCCUGAAAGCGCCACACUCGUCUAUAUUCCCGUUUUGUAGAUGAAGAAACCAAGGUGCUGCAUUAAGUGGCAGGGAGCACGCGGGGAGCAGCUCUGUGCAACUCCGAAGCGUUUCAGAGUCGGGCCAAGGGACCCAGCCUUGGAGUAAUGCCUAAGGAAGAGCACAUCGAUGGUUAGGGUAUAAAAAUUUAUUACAUGUACAGAACAUGACCACUGACGGCUGCAGACAGGCUAGGACACAAUGAUACUGGUUGGAAGAUGGUUGGCUCUUUGGAAAGUGAACAGGUUUGGGCGGCUCGGAGCCUCAUGCCACACGGAAUGGUCAGUCAGAAGGGAAAGCACAUGCCGAACACUGCGGGAGGUCAGGGCAUCGAGUGACGGAUCUGUGUGCCCACUGCCUUCCCUGUCUGAUCUGGGGCUUCGAAGGAUGACACGCCCGGAAGCAAGCAUAUGAAGCAAAAGGGAUUCCUAAGGUGGCCCAGGCUUGUCUCUGAAGUCACGGCAACACCAUUUUAAGCAAUAUGUUUAAUUGGAUGAUUUCCACAAACUAUACACGAAGUUUCUAACCAUCACAAUUCAGUGAAGUACAAAACAUUAAGUUACAGGCUGUGGGAAGAGAAGGCAGCACCAAUGGUGGCACCUUCCAAUCCUGGUUGGCCUAGGGGUAGGGGGUGGGGGAAGGUUUCGUUUUAAACUGAGCCCCUCAUUUCAAUGUACAAAAGAAUUACUCUGAUCGAUAUUAAAUUGUAUCGAAAACAAAAUGGACUAAAAAGCAACUACUACUCUAUGUCGGGGUGAAAAUGGGAGGAAAGAAUGAGUCCUUCAAAGCAGGAGGGGAGACAAUUGGGGGAAGGUUCUGUGGCUGUGACCCCAGGUGGU